AACGAACGCUGGCGGCAUGCCUAACACAUGCAAGUCGAACGGGACCUUCGGGUCUAGUGGCGCUCGGGUGCGUAACGCGUGGGAACCUGCCCUUAGGUUCGGAACAACUCCCCGAAAGGGGUGCUAAUACCGGAUAAUGUCUUCGGACCAAAGAUUUCUCGCCUUUGGAUGGGGCCGCGUUGGAUUCGCUGGUUGGUAGGGUAAAAGCCUACCAAGGCGACGAUCCAUAGCUGGUCGGAGAGGAUGACCAGUCACACUGGGACUGAGACACGGCCCAGACUCCUACGCGAGGCAGCAGUGGGGAAUAUUGGACAAGGGGCGAAAGCCUGAUCCAGCAAUGCCGCGUGAGUGAUGAAGGCCUUAGGGUUGUAAAGCUCUUUUACACGGGAUGAUAAUGACAGUACCGGGAGAAUAAGCUCCGGCUAACUCCGUG
Molecule: ribosomal RNA, 433 nt
Filed under: uncultured bacterium
Lineage: Bacteria
Description: partial 16S ribosomal RNA
Rfam family: Bacterial small subunit ribosomal RNA
Source: RNAcentral